RNAcentral lists this ribosomal RNA (342 nucleotides) under Triticum aestivum (bread wheat). RNAcentral's name for it is "partial small subunit ribosomal RNA". The record is from RNAcentral. Lineage: Eukaryota; Viridiplantae; Streptophyta; Magnoliopsida; Poales; Poaceae.
AUGAAGUGGACCAGAAGAAAAAGACGGGGAAAAUCGACCAUUAGAGUGUAUGAUGGCAGCAAGCUUGCGCAUUCCUUGGAACCUCCAGUAAUAAAAAAUAAUAAUAGAUUGACAUAUCUGAGAAAUCUCCACUAUCCAGACACCGAACCAGUUGCAGAUGCCACGAGAAAUAAGAAGAAAGUGGAUGUUGCAUUGCGUAGCACUAAAAAAAAAUCAGUUCAGCAUACUGGUGUGCCACAGCUUGAUGAAUGCACUUACUCUUUUGAGUGGAGGUCUUCUUCUGUACCAGAAACAUUAGACAUUGUGUACAAGCAAGUACCAAAGGAGUUUCUUCAGAUGUGA